This 23-nucleotide non-coding RNA is filed under the name Arabidopsis thaliana (thale cress). Lineage: Eukaryota; Viridiplantae; Streptophyta; Magnoliopsida; Brassicales; Brassicaceae. The record is from RNAcentral.
CCGGAAUAGUGUACCUAACUAAA